RNAcentral lists this ribosomal RNA (453 nucleotides) under uncultured Sphingobium sp. RNAcentral describes it as "partial 16S ribosomal RNA". The record is from RNAcentral. Lineage: Bacteria; Pseudomonadati; Pseudomonadota; Alphaproteobacteria; Sphingomonadales; Sphingobiaceae.
CACGGAGUUAGCCGGAGCUUAUUCUCCCGGUACUGUCAUUAUCAUCCCGGGUAAAAGAGCUUUACAACCCUAAGGCCUUCAUCACUCACGCGGCAUUGCUGGAUCAGGCUUUCGCCCAUUGUCCAAUGUUCCCUACUGCUGCCUCCCGUAGGAGUCUGGGCCGUGUCUCAGUCCCAGUGUGGCUGAUCAUCCUCUCAGACCAGCUAAGGAUCGUCGGCUUGGUGAGCCUUUACCUCACCAACUACCUAAUCCUACGCGGGCUCAUCCCUGGGCGAUAAAUCUUUGGACUUACGUCAUUAUCCGGUAUUAGCUUCAGUUUCCCGAAGUUAUUCCGAACCCAAGGGCAGAUUCCCACGCGUUACGCACCCGUGCGCCACUAGACCCGAAGGUCUCGUUCGACUUGCAUGUAUUAGGCAUGCCGCCAGCGUUCGUUCUGAGCCAGGAUCAAACUCU